UACGAAGGGGGCUAGCGUUGUUCGGAAUUACUGGGCGUAAAGCGCACGUAGGCGGAUUAGUAUGUUAGAGGUGAAAUCCCAGGGCUCAACCUUGGAACUGCCUUUAAAACUGCUAGUCUUGAGUUCGAGAGAGGUAAGUGGAAUUCCGAGUGUAGAGGUGAAAUUCGUAGAUAUUCGGAGGAACACCAGUGGCGAAGGCGGCUUACUGGCUCGAUACUGACGCUGAGGUGCGAAAGCGUGGGGAGCAAACAGG
This 253-nucleotide ribosomal RNA is filed under the name uncultured bacterium. Its description in RNAcentral is "partial 16S ribosomal RNA". It matches the Rfam family "Bacterial small subunit ribosomal RNA", at positions 524 to 776 of the family's 1533-position model. The record is from RNAcentral.